UGGACCAGUGCAGUGAUCACGACUGGUGGCGUCUGAGUCACAGAUGAGGAAUGCACGUGUCUGGAACUCUGAGGUCCAA
RNAcentral lists this small nucleolar RNA (79 nucleotides) under Dasypus novemcinctus (nine-banded armadillo). RNAcentral describes it as "Small nucleolar RNA SNORD113/SNORD114 family (ENSDNOG00000027512.1)". It matches the Rfam family "Small nucleolar RNA SNORD113/SNORD114 family". Rfam says of the family: The imprinted human domain at 14q32 contains two clusters of tandemly repeated small nucleolar RNAs named 14q(I) and 14q(II) snoRNAs. These two clusters are named SNORD113 and SNORD114 respectively in the HGNC approved gene symbol nomenclature. The snoRNAs found in both clusters are clearly related and are represented here by a single family. Lineage: Eukaryota; Metazoa; Chordata; Mammalia; Cingulata; Dasypodidae. The record is from RNAcentral.